UUUUUUUUUUAGCAACAGAUAAUGAAGAUAGAGCAACAUUCCAUGGAGAUAAUGCUGAUGAUCAUAUUGCUGCAACUGUAACUGGAAAAACAUUUGCUGUUUUAGCAUGCAUAGUUGUAACUGUGGCCGGUGUAGCGGUUAUAGGAUCAAUUAUCAUUAAAAUCAUGAAGAUAACACAAAAUGGUGACACUUCUUGUGCGAUAAAUAACUCACAUUAUGGGGAAGAUGUUUGCUUUUCAAAAUUCAAACCUGUAGUUUGCGGAAUUAUAAAUAAAAACAAUUUUAUCAAUAGGCCUCCGGAAAACUUUCAGCUAAGAAGAAUUGCUGUCUCUGAAAGACAUUGUAGCUAUGUACCCCAUAUGUAUCACCUAGAAUACAUUGAAAAUCAAUCAUAUACCAGCUUUGAUUUUUGAAGAGGACUUCUUUGUAUUUACUGGUACAUGUUGUCUAGUAUGCAAUGGUCUUUGAUGAACACUUUUAGUUAUAGUGUUUGUACAUAUAAGAACAUGGUUAUUGUUAUCUGUAAACGUUUAUAUUCAUAAGAUGUAGGCUCAGUGAUUUUGUUCACCACAGAAACACCGAACUGAGAUAAAAAAAAUAAUUAUAUUUUGUAUUGCAGAUUAGAUUUUUUAUAGUACUAUCUUCUUCUAUCAAAUUUCAUGCAUAUAGG
Molecule: long non-coding RNA, 670 nt
Organism: Mytilus trossulus (common blue mussel)
Lineage: Eukaryota; Metazoa; Mollusca; Bivalvia; Mytilida; Mytilidae
Exons: 3
Source: RefSeq, a predicted model, not a curated record